RNAcentral lists this ribosomal RNA (528 nucleotides) under uncultured bacterium. Its description in RNAcentral is "bacterial SSU rRNA". It matches the Rfam family "Bacterial small subunit ribosomal RNA", at positions 376 to 896 of the family's 1533-position model. RNAcentral also lists the same sequence under 1 other name. The record is from RNAcentral.
CGAAAGCCUGACGCAGCGACGCCGCGUGAGGGAGGAAGGCCUUCGGGUUGUAAACCUCUUUCAGGAGGGACGAAGCUACUCGGGUUAAUAGCCCAGAGGGUGACGGUACCUCCAGAAGAAGCCCCGGCUAACUACGUGCCAGCAGCCGCGGUAAUACGUAGGGGGCAAGCGUUGUCCGGAUUUACUGGGCGUAAAGAGCGUGUAGGCGGCCAAACAGGUCCGUUGUGAAAACUGGAGGCUUAACCUCCAGACGUCGACGGAAACCGUGUGGCUAGAGUCCGGAAGAGGAGAGUGGAAUUCCUGGUGUAGCGGUGAAAUGCGCAGAUAUCAGGAAGAACACCAAUGGCGAAGGCAGCUCUCUGGGACGGUACUGACGCUGAGACGCGAAAGCGUGGGGAGCGAACAGGAUUAGAUACCCUGGUAGUCCACGCCGUAAACGAUGGGUGCUAGGUGUGGGAGGUGUCGACUCCUUCCGUGCCGUAGCUAACGCAUUAAGCACCCCGCCUGGGGAGUACGGCCGCAAGGCUA